GAGAUCCUUCCAACAGGAAAGUGGUGACAGUCUCUUAAAUCACGACACUGCUUCUUUCCCUCAUCUCAUGUCACACUCACAUCUCUCCUGGCACCUAACAUGCCCUCCCACGUGAGAAAAAUGAGGUCAAAGGAUGGGAGCCAUGUCUAACUCAACUGCUCCCUACAGUGCUGAUCCCUCCCAGAUCAGACAGGAAAAACUACCGGACUGAGCACACGUGGUCCAGACAGUAGCUCCGGACCGGCUGGCCUGGGCUAGUGUUUUCGCUCUACUUGGGAGCUUGUAAUCCUUCCGCAACCAUUAAGAAUUUUUACAGAUAAAGCAGACUUUCCACUUGAAAGAAUCAAGUGCAGACAGACUAUGGUUACUCUGACGCACGUAUGUGGCAGACACGUUCUCAGAGAUGAACGAAGUGAGCCUGUCUCUUCAGGAAAAACUGACAGUAUUUGUUACCGAUGACACAAUUCAAGCUUUCAGGUCCGAUGUUUCCAAACCCACCAAAUGGAAGAUGGACCAAGGCGUUUCAAUGAGACAGAGUAUGACAAGUUUACUGAUGUGGUUUCAGAAUCCACGCUGCAGCUAACCUUUAAGAAACUACCACUUGCCAAGUUUUGGUGGAGUCAUCAAAGAAUACCCACAGUUAGGUAUGACAGCAAAGCUGUCAAAAUUCUUUUCUUUUCCAACUGCGUAUUUGUGGUUC
This is a long non-coding RNA of Leopardus geoffroyi (Geoffroy's cat), 700 nucleotides long. RefSeq lists it as uncharacterized. Lineage: Eukaryota; Metazoa; Chordata; Mammalia; Carnivora; Felidae. The transcript has 5 exons. The record is from RefSeq and is a predicted model, not a curated record.